AGGGCUCUCGGCGCUGGAAGUCGGCCAGUACUUCGCGGCUGGGCUGUGACUGGCGGAAGGCUGGCAGGCCCUGCUUGCAGCGUUUGAGGCAGUGUGCGCGGCGCAGCAGGCCCCCAAAGAGGCGCAGCUCUGGAUAGCGCGCGAGGCCGGCGGUGGGCUCAGGCUCUGGCGCCGCGCUGCAGUUGCGGUGGCAGAAGGCCUCGCUGUCGCGCAGCAGGCGGUGCAGCCGCAGGCUAAUCUCCAGUGAGAAAAAUCAAUGCAUAAAUAAAAUGAGGAAGUCGGAGUUUCCGUCGUGGCUCAGCAGAAAGGAAUCUGACUGGAAUCCAUGAAGACGGAGGUUCCAUCCCAGGCCUUGCUCAGCGGUUAAGGAUCCGGCUUUGCCUUGAGCUGUGGUGUAGGUGGCAGACUUGACUCGGAUCUGACGUUGCUGUGGCUGUGGCGGACGACAGCGGCUACAGUUCGAAUUAAAACCCCUAGGCUGGGAAAUUCCAUAUGCCGUGGGUGCGGCCCGAGGAAGACAAAAAAAAAAAGCUUCCUCCCUUGUCCUUAAAGUCAGAGCCAACCUGUUAGGGUUAAUAGGGAGAGACUGACCUAUGUGAACUGUGACCUCUGCUGAAAUGUCAUCUGGUCUGCGUCACCAUUGAAGAGUGAGCCUCACCACCUUGGCCAAGCCCCUCCAGGUCCAUCUAUGUCACUUUCAGGCCACUCUGCUUUGACAGUGGGGUUUGAGACAUCUCCAGGAGCUCCUUGGAGCCCAGGAUACCUCCAUGGAUCACAGGCCACUGUCACCACAGAAAAUGGCUCAGGAGGAGGAGUCAUGAAGGCCACAAGAAAUGGAGAGAAGGCUACUGUGGCCAGAGUAAUAAAGACUGGGGUGGGGUGUGGGCAGCAAAGGUUAAGUGGAACUGCCUUUGAGGAGAAGGUUGAGGUGGACGGGCAGGUGGAGGUGGAAGGGAUGGAGAGGGAUAGUGACACAGGUAGCUGUAGAAGUUCCAAUAAGGACCACAGAUAGAGAGGGAAAUCUAGGGAAUUUUGGGAGAUAACUAAGUUAAUAACUGCUCAAGAAAGCCAUCAAAACAAGACAGGCUUGCUCGACUAGUGGAAGCUCAAGAUACGCCUCAGGUGAUUGGGUGGGGGAUGGGGUGAGGCCUGCAUUCAGGUUCAGACCAAAGGCAGGAGUUUAAGGACUGCCUUUCUGCUGAGCACCAUGACAGUCCUAGUUUGACCUUAUAGGGUCAAAUACUGUCUUAGCAGAUACCAAGGAGGAGCUACUACUCAAAGAAAGAGGAAGAGGCAAUCUUUUCCCACCCCCACUCCCCUUGGAUUAUAAAAUGUAGCCCACCUAAUCCUCAGGGCAGAGCCUCCUUGCCUGCCCAUUUGCAUCUCUCACAAGCAUUCUAUCUUAAUAAAUCUAUUUCUUGCC
RNAcentral lists this long non-coding RNA (1423 nucleotides) under Sus scrofa (pig). Its description in RNAcentral is "lncRNA (ENSSSCG00040007328.1)". The record is from RNAcentral. Lineage: Eukaryota; Metazoa; Chordata; Mammalia; Artiodactyla; Suidae.